CUCAAGGAGUGACGAUUGAGAGCUCUUUCGUGAUUCUAUGGGUGGUUGUGCAUGGCCGUUCUUAGUUGGUGGGA
Molecule: ribosomal RNA, 74 nt
Filed under: Tetraselmis astigmatica
Lineage: Eukaryota; Viridiplantae; Chlorophyta; Chlorodendrophyceae; Chlorodendrales; Chlorodendraceae
Description: partial Eukaryotic small subunit ribosomal RNA
Source: RNAcentral